AUGGCGACCGGCGCACGGGUGAGUAACACGUAUCCAACCUGCCGAUGACUCGGGGAUAGCCUUUCGAAAGAAAGAUUAAUACCCGAUGGCAUAGUUCUUCCGCAUGGUGGAACUAUUAAAGAAUUUCGGUCAUCGAUGGAGAUGCGUUCCAUUAGGUUGUUGGCGGGGUAACGGCCCACCAAGCCUUCGAUGGAUAGGGGUUCUGAGAGGAAGGUCCCCCACAUUGGAACUGAGACACGGUCCAAACUCCUACGGGAGGCAGCAUG
Molecule: ribosomal RNA, 266 nt
Filed under: uncultured bacterium
Lineage: Bacteria
Description: partial 16S ribosomal RNA
Rfam family: Bacterial small subunit ribosomal RNA
Source: RNAcentral